RNAcentral lists this ribosomal RNA (511 nucleotides) under uncultured bacterium. Its description in RNAcentral is "bacterial SSU rRNA". It matches the Rfam family "Bacterial small subunit ribosomal RNA", at positions 1 to 507 of the family's 1533-position model. The record is from RNAcentral.
CGUCUACGAGUUUGAUCCUGGCUCAGGAUGAACGCUAGCGGCAGGCUUAACACAUGCCAGUCGAGGGGCAGCGCGAUGUAGCAAUACAUUGGCGGCGACCGGCGCACGGGUGCGUAACACGUAUGGAACUUACCCUUUACUGGGAGAUAGCCCGGAGAAAUCCGGAUUAAUAUCCCAUAAUAAACGAGGUGGCAUCACUUUGUUUUGAAAGCUCCGGCGGUAAAGGAUGGCCAUGCGCACGAUUAGCUAGUAGGUGAGGUAACGGCUCACCUAGGCUACGAUCGUUAGGGGGCCUGAGAGGGUUAUCCCCCACACUGGUACUGAGACACGGACCAGACUCCUACGGGAGGCAGCAGUGAGGAAUAUUGCGCAAUGGAGGCAACUCUGACGCAGCCAUGCCGCGUGCAGGAAGAAGGCGCUACGCGUUGUAAACUGCUUUUAACCGGGAAGAAACCCCAGGACGUGUCCUGGGUUGACGGUACCGGAGGAAUAAGCACCGGCUAACUUCGUG